CGAAUAACACGAAAGUAGCUUUACCCCUUCCUGCCAGAACCCCCGAGAGCUGGGAUACAAACUGGGAUUAGAUACCCCCCUAUGCCCUGCCCGAAACUUAAAUAUCUCAAUACAAUAGAUAUCCGCCAGGGGACUACGAGCGCUUUCUUAAAACCCAAAGGAUUUGGCGGUGCUUCAAACCCCCCUAGAGGAGCCUGUUCUAAAA
Molecule: ribosomal RNA, 205 nt
Filed under: Stomolophus meleagris (cannonball jelly)
Lineage: Eukaryota; Metazoa; Cnidaria; Scyphozoa; Rhizostomeae; Stomolophidae
Description: partial 12S ribosomal RNA
Source: RNAcentral